GAUCAGUAGGGGUUCUGAGAGGAAGGUCCCCCACAUUGGAACUGAGACACGGUCCAAACUCCUACGGGAGGCAGCAGUGAGGAAUAUUGGUCAAUGGACGAGAGUCUGAACCAGCCAAGUAGCGUGCAGGAUGACGGCCCUAUGGGUUGUAAACUGCUUUUAUAGGGGGAUAAAGUGUGCCACGUGUGGCAUAUUGCAGGUACCCUAUGAAUAAGGACCGGCUAAUUCCGUGCCAGCAGCCGCGGUAAUACGGAAGGUCCAGGCGUUAUCCGGAUUUACUGGGUGUAAAGGGAGCGUAGACGGACUGGCAAGUCUGAUGUGAAAGGCGGGGGCUCAACCCCUGGACUGCAUUGGAAACUGUUAGUCUUGAGUGCCGGAGAGGUAAGCGGAAUUCCUAGUGUAGCGGUGAAAUGCGUAGAUAUUAGGAGGAA
This 431-nucleotide ribosomal RNA is filed under the name uncultured Bacteroidales bacterium. RNAcentral's name for it is "bacterial SSU rRNA". It matches the Rfam family "Bacterial small subunit ribosomal RNA", at positions 278 to 706 of the family's 1533-position model. Lineage: Bacteria; Pseudomonadati; Bacteroidota; Bacteroidia; Bacteroidales. The record is from RNAcentral.